GGACUAACUCGAUACCAAACUCCACUUCCCUCACUGGAGACAAUCUGGGCAAUUCCUCUGGAAAUACGUCUGUAAACUCACAUACCACCGGAACUAACUCGAUCUUCAAUUCAGAUGCUUGAGUAUUCAAUACAAAGGUGAGGUAAGCCUCGUACCCUUUUCUUUAAUAUCUUUCUGCUAUCAUAAAUGAUAUCACUUCAGGCAAUCCACCCAAUUCACCUAGUUCAACCCGAAGAACAUUCCCGUCUUCAC
This 252-nucleotide long non-coding RNA is filed under the name Gossypium barbadense (sea-island cotton). Its description in RNAcentral is "long non-coding RNA (GBAR_LNC006993)". The record is from RNAcentral. Lineage: Eukaryota; Viridiplantae; Streptophyta; Magnoliopsida; Malvales; Malvaceae.